GACGACGCUGGCGGCGUGCCUAACACAUGCAAGUCGAGCGGGGUUGAGGCGAGAGGUAACUCGAGCUUCUACCUAGCGGCGGACGGGUGAGUAACGCGUGGGCAACCUGCCUCAAGGUUUGGGAUAACAGCCCGAAAGGGCUGCUAAUACCGGAUAUGCCUAUGGCCUCGCAUGGGGCUAUGAGCAAAGGGGAAACCCGCCUUGAGAUGGGCCCGCGUCCCAUCAGCUAGUUGGUGAGGUAACAGCUCACCAAGGCGACGACGGGUAGCCGGCCUGAGAGGGUGACCGGCCACACUGGGACUGAGACACGGCCCAGACUCCUACGGGGGGCAGCAGUGGGGGAUCUUGCACAAUGGGCGAAAGCCUGAUGCAGCGACGCCGCGUGAGCGAAGAAGGCCUUCGGGUUGUAAAGCUCUGUCUGGAGGGACGAACAAAAUGACGGUACCUCCGGAGGAAGCCACGGCUAACUACGUG
Molecule: ribosomal RNA, 474 nt
Filed under: uncultured bacterium
Lineage: Bacteria
Description: bacterial SSU rRNA
Rfam family: Bacterial small subunit ribosomal RNA
Source: RNAcentral